AGGCGAUGAUGACAGAAAUCAAUUUCUCGAUGCUGAUAUCAGUGUCACUUACAGUCUUUCUAACUUGAUGACCUAUUUGUGCGUGUCUGAGCCUU
This is a small nucleolar RNA of Ipomoea nil (Japanese morning glory), 95 nucleotides long. It matches the Rfam family "small nucleolar RNA snoR126". NCBI's taxonomy places the organism in Eukaryota, Viridiplantae, Streptophyta, Magnoliopsida, Solanales, Convolvulaceae. The record is from Rfam.